UUUCUUCUGAAAUAUUAAAAAAAUCUUUGAAAGUAAGAGGUAAAAUUCAAAUUGGAAUUAAUAUCAUAAAUUUCAAUCAAUUUUUUGAAUACAGCUGACGUUUUAAUUUUCUGACUAUAAGUUAAAUCAUUUAAAUAUAUCUAUAAAAAUAAAAACAUUACUACUUCCAGUGUUCAAUGUCCAUCUAGUUGCCCAUGUCGAGAAAUGAUAUUUUGCUUCAGGAAUGUUAUGUCUAGAUUUUAUGUUUAGUUUUAGAGUAUAAACUUAUAUAUGUAUAAUUUAAGAGUAACGUAAACUAUCUGUAUUGAAGAAUGUUCCUUAUCUUCCACAUGCGACUGCUGUGAAUGGUGUGCUAAUUUGUGAGUGCCUCCAGAACCCCAAUUUGGAACAUGAAGAAAAGAAAGACAAUAGAUGCUCAGUAGUAAUGUGAAAUGAUACUUCAUUAUGCAAGAAUCCAUUACAUUCAUCAUAUUGGAGAGGAUUACGACGCAUCAUUUAAUUGGUUUUUCCCUUACUUAAGCACUUUUAACUACUUGAAGGCUCCUUGCACUCUGAAGGGUUGUCAGUCUCUGAAGUCAGCAGUGGCAUAGUGCACAAACUAUCAUGGCAUUUGGAUACAGGUGUCAUUUCUUCCAAAGACAGGGCCAGAGAUGUGAAGACUUUCCCUGGGGCUUGGUUGGCAUUGUGAUGAGAACUGAUAUUUAGGAUUAUAGAUUGUGCUGGAAUUCUGGAGUCUUGGAUCCCAAGAGCCAGAGAUGCCCAAGUGUUCUUUAGUGAAUUCUUUUUGCUAGGGCUGAGGUACCACCAGAGACUGAUUUUUGAAGGAUGGGUGUCAGCGUACCACUUUACAUUGUACCUGCCAGGGCUUUCCCUGUGGAUGCUCAGGUCUCAUGCUACUUCUCACCCACCAUGCCAGAUUCUCUCUUGAUUUACAAUGCUUUUCUCUGAAGGACUUGGCUGUCCCUCCCUGACAUCUGGUUUCCUCUUGGCUUUCCCAGCAGACAUAUUUCUAAUGUAUCUGAAAGUCAUUGUCAUAGUUCGAUUCCUUUCCCAUGGACAUGUGGCUGGAAAGUUUUUGCGUGUUCCUGACUAUCCUGUGACAGUGAUAGACUCUUUUUCCUAGGCUCUUAGGGAAGGUCCUAAGUACUUACAAGAGUGAUAUCUAAAUCCACUAUGUUGGUCCAACAUAAUGUCUGUUCCAGCCAGCAAAAGCAUCCUCUGACACUUGAUAUUACUGUCUUUGUAAAUAGUCUCUUCUCAACACCGGUGGUCUAAACAAUGACAAAAUAUAACAGAUAUUUAAUGUGCUUUGAAGAUAAGCAUGGUAUUGUUGAGAGAGCUCAAUUCCUCUAGUCUUUGGUUCUGCUAUCAGUCUUACUUCCUCAUUGGAGGUUGUCACCACCAAGCAGUAAAAAUAAAGACCAUUUCUCCUCCUUGGGCAACACCCUAGAGCUUCUAGUCUUUGGUCUGUCUGAGAAGGUCACUUUCCCCAGUUGUCUAUAGUGAGGCAGAACACAGCCCACAAAUAAUUUAUGAUAAAAGUAGCGAACUUAGGGGCUUAGAUUAUUUAUAGCUGAGAUCAAGCAAUUAACUUUCUAGGUUUCACUCAUCAGUUCUGUAUCUUUCAUUGGUUCUGAACUCUUUAAUUCUAGUUCUUCUUCAGUUACCGUCUUACUUCAGAAUGGCAGGUCAGUCAUUUUGACACAAGUACCGUCUUUUCAGUUCCUCCCUUGUGUUAAUUUCAUGUCCUCCUCUAGCUCUUCUUUCCUUUCACUUUCUCCAUCCUCAGUAUUGGAAUGUACGUAGUGGUUAAGGGCAAGCCUUGAAUCCUAGCUCCAUCACUUGCUAAAAUGUGACUUUGGAAAAUUACCCAAACUCUCUAAGUGUCAAUUGCCUCAUUUAUGAAAUGAGGAUUAUAAUGCCUACCUCAGAGGAUGGCAGGAAGGAUUAAGUGAGAUAAUUCAGGUAAAGCACCUGGCAGAGAUCCGACAUUUGAAAGAUAUCAGUCAAUGGUAUCUGAUAUUAUUGGUCAUCCCUUUGUCUUCAGGUUAUUUCACAGCUUUACCUAGACGUUACCUGGCUCAAUUGAAGGAGACAAAUUAAAGGGCAAUUUCAAAGCUAAACAAUAGAAACAACAGUUUUACAAUAACCUGAAGGAUAUUAUUUGAACACAGAAAAAUAGGGUGCCUCCUCAAAGCUAUAUUGUCUUAAGAAAGAAAGGGAUUCUUUUAUGCAUGUUACCAAACCUUAAUGAAAUAAAUACUGUUCUUCUCUACAGCUAUAUGUUUUGGGCACCAUUUCCAUUUCCAGUGAAUUUAAAGUUAAGUAAUUAAUGGAACCUUACCUGUACAUAGAACACUAACAAACAAAUCCCACUGAAGCCCUAAAAUGGAAAAAUUCAAGCCCAGGUCAUUUGGCCACUAUGCUCUCUUACUCCCCCUGCUCCCGGCCCCCAACUAUUAUUACGCUGGACACUAAAGCUGGGCAGGCGGUGUGAGGAACUUGCGCCGUUAACAUGUGGUUUCUGCAGUGCAAGAGCUCGUACUUUGGUCAUGAGGAAGCUCUACUUCAGGUCCUGCAUGCAGUUUGCUACCAAAACUAAAAAAAUAUAAAAGAAUCUGUGCAUUAAAGGAAAUAGAACUUGAGAUAAAUGAGAAGAAAAAAUAAAACAUCUGUUUAAAGCAUUUGAUGCCCAAAUGAGCAGAAAAAUGACCCCUUCCUAGGAUUGAAAUAAUUGAAACUCUUUUUUAACAUGUUAAUUGGCUUUCUUAGUUUGCUUCCUCUUCGGUUUACUUGGUGUUCCUGAAAAUUCUCAGGGCUUCCCUCCCUCGUGCCUUUAAUCUUGCUGUUCCCAGGCUGUAGUCCCCUCUCUCUACCUCUCCAGGAAUCCUAGGAAUUCAAGGUCUUGCUGGCAUUUCUGUUCCUCCUGAGAUCUCCUUUCCUCUUGCCUGCCUUUUCAUUACUCUCUGAAUUGUUUCAGUUAAAUUUUAAACUAUGUAGGUGCAAGGACCAUGUCUUGUAUUUUAAAAAUGCCAUAUCUCUUACAGUGCCUGGUUACAGUUCUGGGCACAUAGUAGAUCUAAACUGAAUACAUUUUAGCUGAUGGUUUGACGAACUUCCUUUUACUCAAUCAGAAAAAUAAGAAAAAUUUGCCAAGUCUUUUAUCCCUUUCAAAAUAUGAUUAAUGAGAUUUUGAGAAAAACCCUGUUUCUCAAGUUUUAAAGUUUCAUGUUAUUAUUGAUAUUAUUAUAUAUUAUUAUAAUUACAAUAUUAUGAAUAUUAUUCUCACUUUAAUGCAGGGCAGCUGAGGUAGUGUACUUUUGGGUGUACUUUCAUAUACAACAGGUAAGGUGUACAGAUGUCACUGAAAUCCAUCAGGAAGAGUAAAGGUGGUAGAAACAUCAAACUAGAAAAUAAGUUCAUAAAACAUAGUAGAGAUUUUGUCAUUACCCUGAAGAAUUGUCCCAAAUGUACUGGAUAACAGCCUCAAAUUCCCAUGACGCCAAACAAGUAGAGCUUCUGGAAAAUAAUUGCUUUUGGCUUGCUUGUUUUUCUUGAUUCAACAAAGAAAACAAGAUGUAAAUGGAUUGCAGUGUAGUGGCCAAAGGAAAAAGGAAAACCCCAAACCCAGAAGGCCGUGAGUGUGAGAUGACCUUCCAGUUAAUUUCUCCUUUUUAUCUGCUGCUGUUUGCGAUUCAGGAAACACAGCUCUUCAUGUUGUCUGCUAAACCUGCAGUAGCAUUUCUUUCCAUUUUUAAAAGUCCCUCAGCAGAUGCUAUCUUUUGGAAAACAAAACAAAACAAAACAAAACAGCACAGACCCACAGAUAACUCUCCCUCCCUGUACCAAAUCCAGGCAUACUCUUAAGUCAGAAAAGAGCAAUUCAUCUUUUUUAAAAUUUCUCUAUUUUCAAUGGUGGCUUUGAGUGUGUGCUUAUGUCUCUUAGAAUUUUCUUCUUUUAGGGAUUUACAUUAUGUUCUUUUUUUACAAAUCCAGAUUAGAUAAUUAGAUGUGGAGGGUUUCUACUAAUUACUGCAUAAAUCAUCACAGUGACUGCACAACAGAGGUUGUUGAUGGACGGGUUAUUGAAAAUGGAAGCCUCUAUCAUCAUUUUCUACUCUCUUGUCAGAAAUGACAUUUUUGUAUGAGGAGUCAGCCCUUCUUAUUGCUGUGCCUCAUCUACCCUGGCAAAGAGGAUUCUCCUUUGGUGAAAGAUGUAUUAUUUGGCCUACCUCCAACCUCCAAGCCUGAGCAGUAGUCUGUUGAUACUGUACACUUCCUACCAUUGCCACUGCCUGAAUACUACUCAUGUCAACUAAGAUGCUAAGAAAGGCCAGAGACCUCCAAACCAUAACGCCCCGCCAUCCUGAAGCUUCACCUGCGGCUCCUGAUGGUGACACUUCUUAAAACUUGGUCAAGCCUGUAGCUGGACAGUAGGACAACUUGCCUGACCUUCUAUUGACUCCAGUUAAGUAGCUCUCACAUUUGUGAUGGAGUGUCCCUGGGAUAGCAACAUGGAACUGAUGUUCCCCUCCUGGAAGGGCCUAUCUCAGAAUGUUGUCAUGCACUGAACUGUGUCCUCUCCCCACCUCCAUUCAUGUGCUGAAGCCCUAACCCCCAGGGUGACUGUAUUUUGAGAUAGGGCCUGUGAGGGAAUAAUAAAGGUUAAAUGAGGUCAUAGGGAUGGGGCCUUAAUCAAUAGGACUGGUGUCUUGAUGAGAAGAGGAAAAGACCCCAGAGAUCUCUCUCUCUGCAUAUGCACAGAGAAGAGGCCCUGUGAGAACACGGCAACAAGGUGGCCAUCUACAAGCCAGGAAGAGAGGUUUCAUCAGAAACCAACCCUCUCAGCACCACGACCUUGGACUUCUAACCUCCGGAACUGCGAGAGAAUAAAUUUCUGUUUUUUAAGCCA
Equus caballus (horse) is the source of this 4912-nucleotide non-coding RNA. NCBI's taxonomy places the organism in Eukaryota, Metazoa, Chordata, Mammalia, Perissodactyla, Equidae. The record is from RefSeq and is a predicted model, not a curated record.